This 433-nucleotide ribosomal RNA is filed under the name uncultured bacterium. RNAcentral's name for it is "partial 16S ribosomal RNA". It matches the Rfam family "Bacterial small subunit ribosomal RNA", at positions 29 to 507 of the family's 1533-position model. The record is from RNAcentral.
AACGAACGCUGGCGGCAUGCCUAACACAUGCAAGUCGAACGAGACCUUCGGGUCUAUUGGCGCACGGGUGCGUAACGCGUGGGAACCUGCCCUUAGGUUCGGAAUAACUCCCCGAAAGGGGUGCUAAUACCGGAUAAUGUCUUCGGACCAAAGAUUUAUCGCCUUUGGAUGGGCCCGCGUUGGAUUAGCUAGUUGGUAGGGUAAAAGCCUACCAAGGCGACGAUCCAUAGCUGGUCUGAGAGGAUGAUCAGCCACACUGGGACUGAGACACGGCCCAGACUCCUACGGGAGGCAGCAGUGGGGAAUAUUGGACACUGGGCGAAAGCCUGAUCCAGCAAUGCCGCGUGAGUGAUGAAGGCCUUAGGGUUGUAAAGCUCUUUUACCCGGGAUGAUAAUGACAGUACCGGGAGAAUAAGCUCCGGCUAACUCCGUG